AUGGAACAAUGAAUUAGGGUUGAGAGGCUCUCUCCUCCAGGGGCCAGGGGGUCUGGUUUUAUAGUCCCUUCAAGUGAAUAUGGGCCCUUGGAUCAAACCGACAUAGAUUGUAUGGUUUAGAUUCAUCCUUUAGGUCGGUGGAGACCUCCUGCAAAGCAGAGUCCUGAUUGGACUCAGGAGGUGGGCGGGCGCCCUGACCAACUGGGCGGCCGCCCAGGGUCUGGCCCCGUUUCGCCUCCGCUUCGGUCUCGUGGCUUGUGGAGUCUUCUAGAUGUA
Molecule: long non-coding RNA, 276 nt
Filed under: Sorghum bicolor (sorghum)
Lineage: Eukaryota; Viridiplantae; Streptophyta; Magnoliopsida; Poales; Poaceae
Description: long non-coding RNA (SBIC_LNC017677)
Source: RNAcentral